UCUGGCCAUACCACCCUGGAUGUAGCUGAUCUUGUCUGAUCUCGGAAGCUAAGCAAAUUUGGGCCUGCUUAGUACUUGGAUGGGAGAAAAUAUAAUGUUGUAUGAU
Molecule: ribosomal RNA, 106 nt
Organism: Rhinopithecus bieti (black snub-nosed monkey)
Lineage: Eukaryota; Metazoa; Chordata; Mammalia; Primates; Cercopithecidae
Source: Ensembl